GGMCGGAACNANCNNSACUAUGACGAGGUUGAAUUCACCACCGCAUGUSGAGACGUUCCUGGCGUCCUUGGCUCGGAUUUUGGCCAACCGCGUGCGGUCCACCCGGGASACCAUCUUCCGUCCCAUAUCCUGGAUAGGAUGGGGGGACGACGAUUUGCGACACCCAGGCAAACCUGCCCUCGACCAGAAGGCUUGAGGCGCAACUUGCGUUCAAAGACUCCAUGGUUCAGGGGAUUCUGCAAUUCACACCAAGUAUCGCAUUUCGCUACGUUCUUCAUCGAUGCGAGAGCCGAKAUAUCCGUUGCCGARAGUCGUUUUAAACUUUACAUUGCAGCACUGCUUCCACACAAACACCGUCUCCGGGUUGCGGAAAGCAGACUGUUUARUUGCAUGUUCCUUGACACUUUUCGUGCCGGGGUUUGGUGAAAUCCGGAAGCUAUGCGCCCCAUCCACCCCACACUUAAAGUAUACUUAAAAUCUUGACCGGGAACKAAACACAUAACCACGGAAUCGGUGAGCACMRAAUCMGUUAAGARACCCGCCCACCGAGAGUGAUGUUUCAUCCUUCUCGGGUCGUUCUGUUACCAGGGUACG
This 594-nucleotide unclassified non-coding RNA is filed under the name Rapistrum rugosum. Its description in RNAcentral is "sequence contains ITS1, 5.8S rRNA gene and ITS2". The record is from RNAcentral. Lineage: Eukaryota; Viridiplantae; Streptophyta; Magnoliopsida; Brassicales; Brassicaceae.